RNAcentral lists this ribosomal RNA (615 nucleotides) under Paraburkholderia phymatum. Its description in RNAcentral is "bacterial SSU rRNA". It matches the Rfam family "Bacterial small subunit ribosomal RNA", at positions 56 to 663 of the family's 1533-position model. Lineage: Bacteria; Pseudomonadati; Pseudomonadota; Betaproteobacteria; Burkholderiales; Burkholderiaceae. The record is from RNAcentral.
UGCAAGUCGGACGGCAGCGCGGGCUUCGGCCUGGCGGCGAGUGGCGAACGGGUGAAGUAAUACAUCGGAACGUGAUCCUGGAGUGGGGGAUAGCCCGGCGAAAGCCGGAUUAAUACCGCAUACGCGUCUGAGGAGGAAAGCGGGGGAUCUUCGGACCUCGCGCUCAAGGGGCGGCCGAUGGCAGAUUAGCUAGUUGGUGGGGUAAAGGCCUACCAAGGCGACGAUCUGUAGCUGGUCUGAGAGGACGACCAGCCACACUGGGACUGAGACACGGCCCAGACUCCUACGGGAGGCAGCAGUGGGGAAUUUUGGACAAUGGGGGCAACCCUGAUCCAGCAAUGCCGCGUGUGUGAAGAAGGCCUUCGGGUUGUAAAGCACUUUUGUCCGGAAAGAAAACUUCGCCGCCAAUACCGGUGGAGGAUGACGGUACCGGAAGAAUAAGCACCGGCUAACUACGUGCCAGCAGCCGCGGUAAUACGUAGGGUGCGAGCGUUAAUCGGAAUUACUGGGCGUAAAGCGUGCGCAGGCGGUUCGCUAAGACCGAUGUGAAAUCCCCGGGCUUAACCUGGGAACUGCAUUGGUGACUGGCGGGCUAGAGUAUGGCAGAGGGGGGUA